Molecule: ribosomal RNA, 253 nt
Filed under: uncultured bacterium
Lineage: Bacteria
Description: partial 16S ribosomal RNA
Rfam family: Bacterial small subunit ribosomal RNA
Source: RNAcentral
UACGUAGGGGGCAAGCGUUGUCCGGAUUUAUUGGGCGUAAAGAGCGUGUAGGCGGCUUUACAGGUCCGUUGUGAAAACUGGAGGCUUAACCUCCAGCUGUCGAUGGAAACCAUCUGGCUAGAGUCCGGAAGAGGAGAGUGGAAUUCCUGGUGUAGCGGUGAAAUGCGCAGAUAUCAGGAAGAACACCCGUGGCGAAGGCGGCUCUCUGGGCCGGUACUGACGCUGAGACGCGAAAGCGUGGGGAGCGAACAGG